RNAcentral lists this ribosomal RNA (1210 nucleotides) under marine metagenome. RNAcentral's name for it is "bacterial LSU rRNA". It matches the Rfam family "Bacterial large subunit ribosomal RNA", at positions 1102 to 2308 of the family's 2925-position model. The record is from RNAcentral.
UGGCUUAGAAGCAGCCACCCUUUAAAGAAAGCGUAAUAGCUCACUGGUCGAGUCGUCUCGCGCGGAAGAUGUAACGGGGCUAAGCACAUAACCGAAGCUGUGGAUGCAUAUUUAUAUGCAUGGUAGGAGAGCGUUCUGUAGGCCUGCGAAGGUGUUCCGUGAGGAAUGCUGGAGGUAUCAGAAGUGCGAAUGCUGACAUGAGUAGCGAUAAAGUGUGUGAAAGGCACACUCGCCGAAAGCCCAAGGUUUCCUGUGCAACGUUAAUCGGCGCAGGGUGAGUCGGCCCCUAAGGUGAGGCAGAAAUGCGUAACCGAUGGGAAACAGAUUAAUAUUUCUGUACUUCAAUUUAAUGCGAUGUGGGGACGGAGAAGGUUAGGUCAGCCUAGUGACGGAUAUCUAGGUUUAAGCGUGUAGGUAGAUUCUUUAGGCAAAUCCGGAGAGUCAAUACCAAGGCGUGAUGACGAGUGAACUUUUGUUCAUGAAGUGAUUGAUACCAUGCUUCCAAGAAAAGCCACUAAGCUUCAGUUAAAUUGAAACCGUACCGCAAACCAACACAGGUGGGCAGGAUGAGAAUUCUAAGGCGCUUGAGAGAACUCUGGAGAAGGAACUCGGCAAAUUAGUACCGUAACUUCGGGAUAAGGUACGCCCCAGUAGGUUGAAGCAUUUUACAUGUGGAGGCCGACGGGGUUGCAGUGAAUAGGUGGCUGCGACUGUUUAAUAAAAACAUAGCACUGUGCAAACACGAAAGUGGACGUAUACGGUGUGACGCCUGCCCGGUGCCGGAAGGUUAAAUGAUGGGGUGCAAGCUCUUGAUUGAAGCCCCGGUAAACGGCGGCCGUAACUAUAACGGUCCUAAGGUAGCGAAAUUCCUUGUCGGGUAAGUUCCGACCUGCACGAAUGGCGUAACGAUGGCCACACUGUCUCCUCUAGAGACUCAGCGAAGUUGAAAUGGUUGUGAAGAUGCAAUCUACCCGCGGUUAGACGGAAAGACCCCGUGAACCUUUACUAUAGCUUUACAUUGGACUUUGACAAGAUCUGUGUAGGAUAGGUGGGAGACUUUGAAGCGCAGUCGCCAGAUUGCGUGGAGUCACCCUUGAAAUACCACCCUGAUGUUGUUGAAGUUCUAACCCAGAUCCCUUAUCGGGAUCGGGGACCGUGUAUGGUGGGUAGUUUGACUGGGGCGGUCUCCUCCCAAAGAGUAACGGAGGAG